ACAGUCUGGAGUGUAUGUCAGUGUGAGCUGAAGACCAGCAGAGACUAGGAUGGAUGACGGCCUGUCCAGGGGCUGAAUGGACACAGGUGUCAGCAGGGCCACGUGGUAAAGGUGAGCCAGCCAUGAGAGGGUAUCUUGUGGCCAUAUUCCUGAGUGCUGUCUUCCUCUAUUAUGUACUGCAUUGCAUAUUAUGGGGAACGAAUGUCUAUUGGGUGGCACCUGUGGAAAUGAAACGGAGAAAUAAGAUCCAGCCUUGUUUAUCAAAGCCAGCUUUUGCCUCUCUGCUGAGGUUUCAUCAGUUUCACCCUUUUCUGUGUGCAGCUGAUUUUAGAAAGAUUGCUUCCUUGUAUGGUAGCGAUAAGUUUGAUUUGCCCUAUGGGAUGAGAACAUCAGGUCAGUAGUAUUAUUCUUACCUGGUUCUGUUAAAUUUGAGUGGUGUUUGAUGAGAAUGGCAUGUUAAUAUAAUUUUAAGGGCUUUUAUUCUUUCUGCUUCCUAAUGAUUUCCAAUGGAUAUGAUUUUGGGAUGGAAUGAAAUGAAUUACAUUUUAAAAUAUAAAUUCUCACUCCUUUUGAGGCAGUAUA
Molecule: small RNA, 582 nt
Filed under: Pan troglodytes (chimpanzee)
Lineage: Eukaryota; Metazoa; Chordata; Mammalia; Primates; Hominidae
Description: retained intron
Source: RNAcentral